RNAcentral lists this long non-coding RNA (2130 nucleotides) under Zea mays. RNAcentral describes it as "long non-coding RNA (ZMAY_LNC002691)". The record is from RNAcentral. Lineage: Eukaryota; Viridiplantae; Streptophyta; Magnoliopsida; Poales; Poaceae.
GCCAUCAAGCACCUAAACUUCCAGCGCAGGUAGGAAGCCUCGCAGGCUCACACCACCACCUGCCGCCGCCGCUGGCCAAUUUGCCGUGCGAUGGCUGCAAUACACGACUAGGGUCAGGCAGCAACCACUUCCUAACAAAACUGUAGAAAAGGGCUGGGAAGAAAGGUCUUGUUGCAAAAGUGUGCAUAAAUUUCUAGGAGAGAAAUGAAUUAGUAGUAACUAAUCAUGUAAAGGAAUACGAGUAGAUCCAAGGGGAGCGCAAACAGUGUAAUUAUUAAGAUUCAGAAAAUGGAACUGUGUUGUUUGUCAUUGUUUCAGUUUUUGAAUCUUGACAGCUACAUAGAAUGGAAUUGCUGCAAUUCUCAGUUCCGUGUGAUGUUUACAUGAGCAAGACAUAUCAUAGUAAAGCUCCAAUUUUUUUAUUAUCAGCCUGUUUGGUUCGCGCGAGUGUAGACCCGUGGAUACGGAAUCCAAGUUGUUUUAACAAAUUUAAUAUUUUAAAAUAAAUAUGUAUAAAAUUUGAUGGUAAUUUUUUAGUUAUCAACUAUAUUAUUACAAAUAAGAAUAAAAUUUUAUAAAAAAAUAUUGUAUACAUUAUUUGCCAGUAAAAAAAUUACUAAAUUCGUACCGAAUUUUAUAUCUAUCAUUUGAGAAAAUAUAGAAUAAAUUUAAAUGAACCUUUAAUAGUUUAAUAUUAAAAAUAAGAAUAAAAUUUAUAUAGCAGAAUCUAUAUCCUAUUUAUUUAUAGUAAAAAAAGAUAAAAAAACUAAUAAUCGAAUAGUUAUCGUUUCCAACUAUUUUCAUCCUACCCGUAGUGAAUAGUUUAGAAGCCACAAAACCGGAGGUGAUUGAAUGGGUUAGAAUCCCCUUCUUAUAAGAAGGGAAUUCUAGCUAAUUCAAUCCCUUCCGUUUUCUAUCUCCCAAACCAGUUAGAUUGGAGUGUGAGAUUAAGAAAAAAAAAUCUCAAACUUAAGCCUUGAACACGUAAAACAACAAAGGCGGCGUUGUCAAGGAUGGACAGAGGGGCAGCGUGGUUUUGGAUAACUGCAAUAUAAGAGAUAACUGCAAUAGGAAUAUGGGAUGUAAGUAAACCAACAUGUAUCACAAUGUAAAUGAAAAUUUUAGUAAUCUGUUACAUUUAGAUUCAGAUACAAGUUGUCAUAAUUAAAAAAUAUAGAUAUAAUCAUCAAAACAUCGUAGAACUAAAACUAGCACAAACAUUUUUUAUCAUGAAGUUUAAUUAUAUGCAUUUUUUAUUAAUACAGAAAUUGGAUGUGUUAAUAUGUAGUCUACCAAAAUUGAAGUCCUCAUAAUAUUCGACAUUAUCUCAUAUUCUCAAAACACUUUGGAAAGUACAAGUUAGUCACACACCUUUAGAUUAUCGUAGCCACAUCUUGCCAGGAGAAAAUGAUAUUACCCCCCAAAAAUCUACAAUUUUACACUCUGAAGUCUGAACAUGUUUAUAACACCCUUUCGAGCACUUCGUAUGUCUUCAGGUUCAUCAACACAAUGUGUUAACGCCACCUAACGGGCAAGAUAUUACCAAUGUCCAUGAGUGACCUAAUAAUUCACAAAAAGCAGGCCUUGAGUUGGAUAAACAAAAAGUACAUCGCACUUAAAAAAUGUCUGAACUGAAGCCCUUAAGCCCAAUUUCCCUGACUACUAGCAGUCAAAAGGGGAAAAGAAAAUGAUUAAGUCCUUGGCUACAACUAUACUGAUACGUCUAUUGGAACAUAAAGCGCAACAUCUGAAGAUGAAAAACAAGAACAUUCACCUAAUGCAGGCCCCAUUCAUCCACCAAGGGUCGAAAUACUAACAAGUUUGGUUGUGUUUGCAAUCACAAGCAGUUACCGGACCGUCAGAGCCCACCUGCAAGCAGCAGCAGCACAAGCAAUCAUGUGGUUGACGAUCUGGCGAGGAGCAGGCGAGAUGGGUGGGAUGAGGAUCCGCCUUAGACCCAUUAGUUUUGGCAGUGGCGACAUCUGCUUCCUUGUCGUCGUCCUUGAGAUGGGGUUGUGGCUGGUUCACCGGCAACGGGGGGGUCAUCGGGUGGGGGCGAUGGCGCUGGCUAGGCAGGCGGCAAGGGGUGGUGUAUCGUUGGCCCUGUUCGAGCGAAGGACGAGAAGAGAG